UCCUACGGGAGGCAGCAGUGGGGAAUAUUGGACAAUGGGCGAAAGCCUGAUCCAGCCAUGCCGCGUGUGUGAAGAAGGUCUUCGGAUUGUAAAGCACUUUAAGUUGGGAGGAAGGGUAUUAACCUAAUACGUUAGUACUUGACGUACCGACAGAUA
RNAcentral lists this ribosomal RNA (156 nucleotides) under uncultured Gammaproteobacteria bacterium. Its description in RNAcentral is "partial 16S ribosomal RNA". It matches the Rfam family "Bacterial small subunit ribosomal RNA", at positions 337 to 487 of the family's 1533-position model. The record is from RNAcentral. Lineage: Bacteria; Pseudomonadati; Pseudomonadota; Gammaproteobacteria.